This 253-nucleotide ribosomal RNA is filed under the name uncultured bacterium. RNAcentral's name for it is "partial 16S ribosomal RNA". It matches the Rfam family "Bacterial small subunit ribosomal RNA", at positions 524 to 776 of the family's 1533-position model. The record is from RNAcentral.
UACAGAGGUCCCGAGCGUUGUUCGGAUUCACUGGGCGUAAAGGGUGCGUAGGUGGUGAGGUAAGUCGGAUGUGAAAGCUCCAAGCUCAACUUGGAAAUGGCAUUGGAAACUACCUUGCUAGAGGGUUUGAGGGGGGACUGGAAUACUUGGUGUAGCAGUGAAAUGCGUAGAUAUCAAGUGGAACACCAGUGGCGAAGGCGAGUCCCUGGAAAACUCCUGACACUGAGGCACGGAAGCUAGGGGAGCAAACAGG